RNAcentral lists this ribosomal RNA (912 nucleotides) under uncultured bacterium. Its description in RNAcentral is "bacterial SSU rRNA". It matches the Rfam family "Bacterial small subunit ribosomal RNA", at positions 8 to 879 of the family's 1533-position model. The record is from RNAcentral.
AGAGUUUGAUCCUGGCUCAGGACGAACGCUGGCGGCGUGCCUAAUACAUGCAAGUCGAGCGAGCUUGCCUAGAUGAUUUUAGUGCUUGCACUAAAUGAAACUAGAUACAAGCGAGCGGCGGACGGGUGAGUAACACGUGGGUAACCUGCCCAAGAGACUGGGAUAACACCUGGAAACAGAUGCUAAUACCGGAUAACAACACUAGACGCAUGUCUAGAGUUUGAAAGAUGGUUCUGCUAUCACUCUUGGAUGGACCUGCGGUGCAUUAGCUAGUUGGUAAGGUAACGGCUUACCAAGGCAAUGAUGCAUAGCCGAGUUGAGAGACUGAUCGGCCACAUUGGGACUGAGACACGGCCCAAACUCCUACGGGAGGCAGCAGUAGGGAAUCUUCCACAAUGGACGAAAGUCUGAUGGAGCAACGCCGCGUGAGUGAAGAAGGGUUUCGGCUCGUAAAGCUCUGUUGGUAGUGAAGAAAGAUAGAGGUAGUAACUGGCCUUUAUUUGACGGUAAUUACUUAGAAAGUCACGGCUAACUACGUGCCAGCAGCCGCGGUAAUACGUAGGUGGCAAGCGUUGUCCGGAUUUAUUGGGCGUAAAGCGAGUGCAGGCGGUUCAAUAAGUCUGAUGUGAAAGCCUUCGGCUCAACCGGAGAAUUGCAUCAGAAACUGUUGAACUUGAGUGCAGAAGAGGAGAGUGGAACUCCAUGUGUAGCGGUGGAAUGCGUAGAUAUAUGGAAGAACACCGGUGGCGAAGGCGGCUCUCUGGUCUGCAACUGACGCUGGGGCUCGAAAGCAUGGGUAGCGAACAGGAUUAGAUACCCUGGUAGUCCAUGCCGUAAACGAUGAGUGCUAAGUGUUGGGAGGUUUCCGCCUCUCAGUGCUGCAGCUAACGCAUUAAGCACUCCGCCUGGGGA